RNAcentral lists this non-coding RNA (30 nucleotides) under Mus musculus (house mouse). The record is from RNAcentral. Lineage: Eukaryota; Metazoa; Chordata; Mammalia; Rodentia; Muridae.
UCUACACUUUCCCAGUUAGUAAUGCAAUGC